GAAAUGCGAUAAGUAAUGUGAAUUGCAGAAUUCAGUGAAUCAUCGAAUCUUUGAACGCACAUUGCGCCCGCCAGUAUUCUGGCGGGCAUGCCUGUCCGAGCGUCAUUUCAACCAUCAAGCCCCCGGGCUUGUGUUGGGGACCUGCGGCUGCCCGCAGGCCCUGAAAACCAGUGGCGGGCUCGCUGUCACACCGAGCGUAGUAGCAAUCACCUCGCUCAGGGCGUGCUGCGGGUUCCGGCCGUUAAACAGCCAUACAAAACCCAAGGUUGACCUCGGAUCAGGUAGGAAGACCCGCUGAACUUGAGC
RNAcentral lists this unclassified non-coding RNA (306 nucleotides) under plant metagenome. Its description in RNAcentral is "partial contains 5.8S ribosomal RNA, internal transcribed spacer 2, and large subunit ribosomal RNA". The stretch from base 1 to 105 matches the Rfam family "5.8S ribosomal RNA", at positions 50 to 154 of the family's 154-position model. The record is from RNAcentral.